Molecule: long non-coding RNA, 1057 nt
Filed under: Homo sapiens (human)
Lineage: Eukaryota; Metazoa; Chordata; Mammalia; Primates; Hominidae
Description: PREDICTED lncRNA (TCONS_00028536)
Source: RNAcentral
GGAGGCGCGGUCCUUCCAGCCUCUUGCUCCUGUGAAUCACAGGUCGGCGGGAGCCUUUUUUCCUUUUUUUUUUUUUCCCGGGGAGUCGGCCUCGGGGCUCUGCUCUCCUACCUCAGUCUGCCCUACCCUGGAAUGGGGAAAAUGCGGACAUGCCACUCAGUCCGGCCGCGAACAGUGCUCCAGAACUCAGAGAGUUUUCCAGACGGGUGGAGAUCGCGUUCCCUGCCCGCCGAGGUCCCAUCGCUUCCCUGCUGGGAAGACAAAUGAGGCGCUUUAGCCGUCUCCACGGCCAGCCCCUCCCUCAUAACCCGAGAUUCUUUGUGGGCUCUUAGUCCAUAGCUGCCUUUGAGGUGGUGUAGACCUUGCUAACCAGGACGGCCCAGUAGGCAGAGCUCAUUUUUAUUCCUGUCUGCAAUCGUGCAAAAACGCCUCUUAUGGAAAAGCCAGAGCGCCAGGAGUCAGCAAAACACACUAAAGAUUGGGCAGUCACUGGGGAGAACACUCAGCCCGCCUGCACCCAGGUGAAAUAUACAGCCUUGUUGCUCACACAAAGCCUGUUUGGUGGUUUCUUCACACGGAUGCAUGUGACAUUUGGUGCUGAAGACCCAGGACAGGAGGACUCCUUUGGGAGACCAGUGCCCUGUUGUCGCCCUCACUCCGUGAGGAGAUCCACCUAUGAUCUCAGGUCCUCAGACCAACCAGCCCAAGGAACAUCUUGCCAAUUUCAAAUCGGAUAGGAGUGUCAGGCCUCUGAGUCCAAGCUAAGCCAUCAAAUCCCCUGUGACCUGCACGUGUACAUCCAGAUGACCUGAAGCAACUGAAGAUCCACAAAAGAAGUGAAAGUAGCCUUAACUGAUGACAUUCCACCAUUGUGAUUUGUUCCUGCCCCACGCUAACUGAUACCAUAUAUUCUUCCCCCGCCCUUGAGAAUGUACUUUGUACACCUAUCCCAAACCUAUAAGAACUAAUGAUAAUCCUACCACCCUUUGCUGACUCUCUUUUUGGACUCAGCCCGCCUGCACCCAGGUGAAAUAAACAGCCCUGUUGCUCACACAAA